Molecule: ribosomal RNA, 433 nt
Filed under: uncultured bacterium
Lineage: Bacteria
Description: partial 16S ribosomal RNA
Rfam family: Bacterial small subunit ribosomal RNA
Source: RNAcentral
AACGAACGCUGGCGGCAUGCCUAACACAUGCAAGUCGAACGAGACCUUCGGGUCUAGUGGCGCACGGGUGCGUAACGCGUGGGAAUCUGCCCUUGGGUUCGGAAUAACAGUUGGAAACGACUGCUAAUACCGGAUGAUGACGUAAGUCCAAAGAUUUAUCGCCCAAGGAUGAGCCCGCGUAGGAUUAGCUAGUUGGUGAGGUAAAGGCUCACCAAGGCGACGAUCCUUAGCUGGUCUGAGAGGAUGAUCAGCCACACUGGGACUGAGACACGGCCCAGACUCCUACGGGAAGCAGCAGUGGGGAAUAUUGGACAAUGGGCGAAAGCCUGAUCCAGCAAUGCCGCGUGAGUGAUGAAGGCCUUAGGGUUAUAAAGCUCUUUUACCCGGGAUGAUAAUGACAGUACCGGGAGAAUAAGCUCCGGCUAACUCCGUG